Molecule: ribosomal RNA, 439 nt
Filed under: uncultured bacterium
Lineage: Bacteria
Description: partial 16S ribosomal RNA
Rfam family: Bacterial small subunit ribosomal RNA
Source: RNAcentral
CCUACGGGAGGCUGCAGUGGGGAAUAUUGCACAAUGGGGGAAACCCUGAUGCAGCGACGCCGCGUGAGUGAAGAAGUAAUUCGUUAUGUAAAGCUCUAUCAGCAGGGAAGAAAAUGACGGUACCUGAGUAAGAAGCCCCGGCUAACUACGUGCCAGCAGCCGCGGUAAUACGUAGGGGGCAAGCGUUAUCCGGAUUUACUGGGUGUAAAGGGAGCGUAGACGGCAGUGCAAGUCUGGAGUGAAAGGCGGGGGCUCAACCCCCGGACUGCUCUGGAAACUGUACGGCUGGAGUGCAGGAGAGGUAAGUGGAAUUCCUAGUGUAGCGGUGAAAGGCGUAGAUAUUAGGAGGAACAGCAGUGGCGAAGGCGACUUUCUGGACAGUAACUGACGUUGGGGCACGAAAGUGUGGGGAGCAAACAGGAUUAGAUACCCCUGUAGU